Molecule: transfer RNA, 68 nt
Filed under: Gessius rufidorsus
Lineage: Eukaryota; Metazoa; Arthropoda; Insecta; Hemiptera; Cicadellidae
Description: Gessius sp. 'rufidorsus' tRNA-Ile
Source: RNAcentral
AAUAAAGUGCCUGAAUAAAGGAUUAUUUUGAUGUAAUAAUUUAAGUAAAAUGAAAUUUACCUUUAUUG